UUGAGGUGAUGUGUUUGGUGUUGGGGGCUGUCGUGUAGCGGUGCUGGGUCGGGUGAGCCGGUUUGCCUCAGGACCGGGUAUAAACUGGGGAGAUGUGGCUGCUGAGGAGCAAGAUGUUUUUACAGAGCAUCUUAAAAAGCAUGUCUGACUCUCCAGGAAUUCCCGAUGCUGCUGUUCGCUGGUGCCUGAGGAAACAAGCUGCAGUGUGCAUGCCCCGCUCCUCCCAUCCUCCUCAAGUAGCUGCUCUCUAGCCUGGGUGUUGGGCACGAGUGGGGAAGGUAGGUGGGGGAGCAAACCCAGAACAACAGCUCUUCUAUGGGGCUGUCAGCGUGUAAAAUCAAGAGGAAAUCUUUAAGAAAGCAUGGUAAUGUGUUUGAUGUGAAUAAGGAAUUACAGCCUCCUUUCUCUCCUAGGAAAAUGAAAAUCUGAUGUAUGUGGAGGUUUCUAUUGCGUCCUUGCUACAAAAGGGCAGGUAUUUUAAAUUGCAUUAACUAAUAGGAAAAUCCUCUUGUAGCUGGUGUGUGACAUGAAUUGCAGUAAUUCAAUUAGUUACAAUUAUGUCUUUUUUUUUCUUAUUCUUUUUUUUCUUUCUAAAAGAGAAAGCCGUUGCCUAUGUGCCUCUGAAAUACAGGUAUGUGGUUCUGGUCAGUUUUACUUAACAGCAGCAAAGCCAUGGCAUUUCAACUGUCAAGCUAGGUUGUGGAAAUGACUACUGUGCUUAAUUCCAGUGGCAGCAAGCAGCUGUUUUUCUUGUUCCACCAUAAAAGGAGACUGGGCCCAGCCUCGAGGAAUUUCUCACCUGCAGUAGUUCCACAUCUAGUUUGUGGGGAAAGUUACUUAAAGCUCUGGGGCCUUUUUUCACUCCCAGUGUAUUCUUAUAGUCAACACACUCAAACAUUUUGCUACGAGUCUCCAAAUCACUGCAUUUGUUCCAUGUAGAAAAACCCUUUCUAAAUCUGUCUGUAUUUUCUCUCCCAAAACUAACACUCCCUAAGCAGCAAUGCAUGCAGAGAUACCAGUAUUGCAGGUUUCUGGGACUUGUAUUUUAGGUUUGCCCGUCCUGCUCUUAUGACAAACACUUGCACAGGGAAUGAGUGCAAUGCCACUGCUUGCAUUGCAUCUAAUUGUGCAAGUUUCAACCUGCUGUUUUUGCUUCUCAAGACAGGAGUCUUGCAGUUGCAAACAGUCCCUUACAGGUUAGAUCGGGCACUGAUGAAUAGAAGUUAGUACAUGUUGGCUGAUGGAAUUAGUCCUGCUACCUGUAAGGGUUGUGAGCUCCUGCUUCUAAGCUAUUAUGAUGCUUUAUCACACUGCUAGUUAUGUUGUAAUCCAGCAAGUGUUUGAUCUUUUACCUGCCCAGGCACUUCAGGCAUUUUUAAUUAUCUGAGGGUUAAUUUGUAUGGAAGCUCUUGCUGAAACAAUAAAUUCAUACCUCUGUUAUUAUUUGGUAUGAGUUUCUGUAUCAAUAUUUAUAUUUGGAUAAAGCCAGAGUAGUUUCCUACUAGCAUUAAGACAAAAGGGUUGCUUCAGAGCAAGUUCAGGAGUCAUCCAGCACCAAAAGCGUUUUCCCUUUGCAGGUAAAAGGCAAUUAUUAUAACAUGGUAGGAGAACACAUGCUCUGGUGACUUUUCUAUGCAGGGUUUAGGAGUUACAAAUGUCUCAUGAAAAGCACAUUUUGUAAGGCUUGACAAAUAGUGUUCACCUUGAGCCAAUGUGUUAUGUAUGUUUUAAAUGUUGGUAAUAAUGUUUUUGCAACUUGCAUUGUAGAACUUCAGUUCAACAGCUAGCUGUUUAUUCAUCUUGCUAAUGAAUUUAGUGCUUCAGUUUACAGGAGGAACUGCUAUUUAUGGCAAUACAUAAAGUAGAAGAAGGGUAAGAGGACAUACCAGGAGAUGAUCUCUCUCCCUGUGUUUUUCCCUUUACUACUGUCAUCCAGGCUUCCCCACCCCUCCAGUGUAAAGUGGAAAACAGAAAAGGAGGAGACUGAUAGCACACUAGGAGACAUAGAAAGUCCAUGCUCUUGCAGGGCAGUGGGAAGGAGGGCGGAAGUUUAGGAAGCUUGGCUGUACUUGCACUGGCAGCACUGCCGUAAGAUGGGAAACAAGUCUCUCCUGAGAAUGCAGUCCAGAUUCUCCCACCCUCCUCACUCACAUUCCUGCACUAGUUAUGAGGUAGUUGUAACAGAAUUGAGAGCAAUCCAUGUUAUUUCAUUUCUGCUUUUACUUUAGAAGCACUCUGAAGUGUGUAUAGUAUCUUCUGUCUGUGUUUCUUUAUAUGAUAAAUAAACUAAAUCCUAAAUAA
Molecule: long non-coding RNA, 2301 nt
Organism: Melopsittacus undulatus (budgerigar)
Lineage: Eukaryota; Metazoa; Chordata; Aves; Psittaciformes; Psittaculidae
Exons: 2
Source: RefSeq, a predicted model, not a curated record